UACGAAGGGGGCUAGCGUUGCUCGGAAUUACUGGGCGUAAAGGGCGCGUAGGCGGUUUGUACAGUCAGAUGUGAAAUUCCCGGGCUCAACCUGGGGGCUGCAUUUGAUACGUGCGGACUUGAGUGGGGAAGAGGGUCGUGGAAUUCCCAGUGUAGAGGUGAAAUUCGUAGAUAUUGGGAAGAACACCGGUGGCGAAGGCGGCGACCUGGUCCUUGACUGACGCUGAGGCGCGAAAGCGUGGGGAGCAAACAGG
Molecule: ribosomal RNA, 253 nt
Filed under: uncultured bacterium
Lineage: Bacteria
Description: partial 16S ribosomal RNA
Rfam family: Bacterial small subunit ribosomal RNA
Source: RNAcentral